UCCUGGAAGGUACUUGUGGGAGUUCAAAGUGUCCAGCAUCUUGCAGGAGUCACAGAUUUUAAAGCAAGAAGGAACCACUGUGAUGAUCUAGUCUGAUCUCUAUCAUAACAAAGGCCAAAUAACUUCUGUAUUAAGCCCACAACCACUAGUUGAACUAGAGCAUAACUUUGAGAAACAAACCCAAUCUUGAUUUAAAGAUUUCAAGUGGCGGAGACUCUACCUCAUCACUUUGUCUUUCACUUGGACAUCUUAGACCUGAUUUUCUGAACAUCAGCAGAUUCCAGCGAUUUCAAUUCAAGUUGCAGAUGCUCAGCACCUUUGGAAAUCAAAUCCAUAGCAACCAGCUUGUGAGAUGCCUGAAAUAAUCUAUCCAGUUUCAAACUUAUCUUGCUGAUCUGACUCAUCCAAGAAGUUCUGUUGAUGUUAGUAGGAAUAUUCAGAUAAAAGACUAAGGCCUGCUGAACAUCGAAGGAAUGGAGUCUUCAUUUUUCUGCAGACGCAUGCAGUUUUGGGAAGAAGACUGGUAAGUGAAUGGAUUGGUUAAGGUGAAAUCCUGAAAAUACUUUAGGGGUGAAUUUGGGAUGUAGAAGCAAAGAAACCUUGUU
Trachemys scripta elegans is the source of this 605-nucleotide long non-coding RNA. RefSeq lists it as uncharacterized. The record is from RefSeq and is a predicted model, not a curated record. The transcript has 3 exons. Lineage: Eukaryota; Metazoa; Chordata; Testudines; Emydidae.